Trichomonas vaginalis G3 is the source of this 953-nucleotide non-coding RNA. NCBI's taxonomy places the organism in Eukaryota, Parabasalia, Trichomonadida, Trichomonadidae. The record is from Rfam.
ACAUGAAUGACUCAGCGCAGUAUGAAGUCUUUGUUUUCUUCCGAAAACAAGCUCAAUGAGAGCCAUCGGGGGUAGAUCUAUCUCAUGACGAGUGGUGGAAUACUUUGACUCAUGAGAGAGAAGCUGAGGCGAAGGCGUCUACCUAGAGGGUUUCUGUCGAUCAAGGGCGAGAGUAGGAGUAUCCAACAGGAUUAGAGACCCUGGUAGUUCCUACCUUAAACGAUGCCGACAGGAGUUUGUCAUUUGUUAAUGGCAGAAUCUUUGGAGAAAUCAUAGUUCUUGGGCUCUGGGGGAACUACGACCGCAAGGCUGAAACUUGAAGGAAUUGACGGAAGGGCACACCAGGGGUGGAGCCUGUGGCUUAAUUUGAAUCAACACGGGGAAACUUACCAGGACCAGAUGUUUUUUAUGACUGACAGGCUUCGGGUCUUUCAGGAUAUUGUUUUUGGUGGUGCAUGGCCGUUGGUGGUGCGUGGGUUGACCUGUCUAGCGUUGAUUCAGCUAACGAGCGAGAUUAUCGCCAAUUAUUUACUUUGCCGAAGUCCUUCGGUUAAAGUUCUAAUUGGGACUCCCUGCGAUUUUAGCAGGUGGAAGAGGGUAGCAAUAACAGGUCCGUGAUGCCCUUUAGAUGCUCUGGGCUGCACGCGUGCUACAAUGUUAGGAUCAAUAGGACUGCGAGCCUGAGAGGGUGCGCUACUCUUAUAAUCCCUAACGUAGUUGGGAUUGACGUUUGUAAUCAGCGUCAUGAACCAGGAAUCCCUUGUAAAUGUGUGUCAACAACGCACGUUGAAUACGUCCCUGCCCUUUGUACACACCGCCCGUCGCUCCUACCGAUUGGAUGACUCGGUGAAAUCACCGGAUGCUUACGAGCAGAAAGUGAUUAAAUCACGUUAUCUAGAGGAACGAGAAGUCGUAACAAGGUAACGGUAGGUGAACCUGCCGUUGGAUCAGUU